This 330-nucleotide ribosomal RNA is filed under the name Blastocystis sp. Its description in RNAcentral is "SSU rRNA". It matches the Rfam family "Eukaryotic small subunit ribosomal RNA", at positions 19 to 369 of the family's 1831-position model. Lineage: Eukaryota; Bigyra; Opalinata; Blastocystidae. RNAcentral also lists the same sequence under 1 other name. The record is from RNAcentral.
AGUAGUCAUACGCUCGUCUCAAAGAUUAAGCCAUGCAUGUGUAAGUAUAAAUAGUUAACUUUGAAACUGCGAAUGGCUCAUUAUAUCAGUUAUAGUUUAUUUGAUGAAGAAUACUAAUUGGAUAACCGUAGUAAUUCUAGAGCUAAUACAUGUAUAAAGUCUUGUAGACUGCAUUUAUUAGAAUGAAAACCAUAGGUUUCGGCCUAUUCGUGAGUAAUAAUAACUAAUCAUAUCGUAUGCUUAUGUAACGAUGUGUCUUUCAAGUUUCUGCCCUAUCAGCUUUCGAUGGUAGUGUAUUGGACUACCAUGGCAGUAACGGGUAACGAAGAA